Long non-coding RNA from Populus euphratica (Euphrates poplar), 512 nucleotides. RefSeq lists it as uncharacterized. The transcript has 2 exons. NCBI's taxonomy places the organism in Eukaryota, Viridiplantae, Streptophyta, Magnoliopsida, Malpighiales, Salicaceae. The record is from RefSeq and is a predicted model, not a curated record.
CAAAAAAACAAGGCAUGACUCAACCACCACCCACUCCAACUUGACUCCUUUAAUCACGCAACUAAUAACAGGAAUCAGCAUUGAAUGACAAAUUAAGAUUUCCCUUUUGGCCUUCUUCUAGCAAAGAACAUUUCAAAGUUGAACUGAUAACGUAUCAAGUGAAGGGGAGAUUAUCACGACUAUCAGCUCACCACUGGGGCUAUAAACCACUGCUGCAGAAACAGAGGAGGAGAGAGAGGGCAAUGUGCUUUCCUGGAAGGGUGUCUUUAUAUCUUCUCCACAGAAAAGUCAUGAGUUUACCUGUAUAAAGACAAAAGCAGCAGGACCAGAGUAACCUUCCUUUAAGACAGGACACGUUCGGUUGCCUUGCUUGUAAGGAGUUGAGAUAUUUUAUUCUUGGAGAUGCAAGCCGUACGGCCACAUCCCCUUCACCGGUUUAUGUUUUCGAAACACUUGUUACUGUCGGGGGCGGAGCCAGUAAAAUUAGCCAGGGGGGCAAACUAGAAAAGUUU